Molecule: ribosomal RNA, 238 nt
Filed under: Salmonella enterica
Lineage: Bacteria; Pseudomonadati; Pseudomonadota; Gammaproteobacteria; Enterobacterales; Enterobacteriaceae
Description: partial 16S ribosomal RNA
Rfam family: Bacterial small subunit ribosomal RNA
Source: RNAcentral
AAAUUGAAGAGUUUGAUCAUGGCUCAGAUUGAACGCUGGCGGCAGGCCUAACACAUGCAAGUCGAACGGUAACAGGAAGCAGCUUGCUGCUUUGCUGACGAGUGGCGGACGGGUGAGUAAUGUCUGGGAAACUGCCUGAUGGAGGGGGAUAACUACUGGAAACGGUGGCUAAUACCGCAUAACGUCGCAAGACCAAAGAGGGGGACCUUCGGGCCUCUUGCCAUCAGAUGUGCUGUGC